CACAAAGCUACAGCUUGGAUCCUUAGCAUCCCCCAAGAGCUCCAAGGGCUUGGUCCCCCAGGGUGGUGUUUUUAAGCUUGAGGAAACUUGGGGGGGGGCUUGUAGGACCUCUGCCUCUUCCUCUUCCCCCUUGCUCCCUAGCUGUUGAUGUAAGUAGGCCUUUGCUUCCUGAUCUACAUCAUUUCUUGCCGUAGGUCCAAAGCAAUAGAGCCAACUGACUAUGGGCUGCACCGAAAGCCCAAACAGCUCUUUCCUCUUUGUAAGACGAUUGUCUCAGCAGACCAACACGCUCGACAAGAAGACUGCGGAGUGCAGGGAAGGAUGAAGGGACCUUCCUCCUGCUGCUGAUGGGGGAAAGACGUCUUCACUGAGGAGGUGGUCUGGGACUGGAGAGCUCCUGCAGGCCGCAGAGAAUCAAGACCAAGAGCUCAGGGGAUGCUGCAGAGAUGAAACCCUGAGCCAUCAAUCAAGGUGUCAACCCAGAUGGCCUGUGACGGAGGGACCAGGCACAGGUGCGGGAAUGGACUGCAGGGUUGAGAGGAGUCCCUGGCUGGGUGUCCUGGCGACCUAGGGGACUACAGCGAGAGAGCUGGAAGAGUGAGGGUUCACUGUCCACGGGCUGGUGAGAUCUGAAGUCAGUACACCGGGGUCUGGGGCUGUGAGCUGGACACUUACAAAAGUGCUCAGUGCUGGCUCAGUGGGCUGGGGAGUCC
RNAcentral lists this long non-coding RNA (713 nucleotides) under Mus spicilegus (steppe mouse). Its description in RNAcentral is "lncRNA (ENSMSIG00000023699.1)". The record is from RNAcentral. Lineage: Eukaryota; Metazoa; Chordata; Mammalia; Rodentia; Muridae.